This 537-nucleotide ribosomal RNA is filed under the name uncultured Bacteroidota bacterium. RNAcentral describes it as "bacterial SSU rRNA". It matches the Rfam family "Bacterial small subunit ribosomal RNA", at positions 78 to 611 of the family's 1533-position model. Lineage: Bacteria; Pseudomonadati; Bacteroidota. The record is from RNAcentral.
GCUUGCUUUUUGCUGACGAGUGGCGAACGGGUGCGUAACGCGUAUGCAACCUACCUUUUUCUGAGGAAUAGCCCAGAGAAAUUUGGAUUAAAACCUCAUGAUAAUAUUUAUUCGCAUGUUUAAAUAUUUAAAAUUUCGAUGGAAGAAGAUGGGCAUGCGUAACAUUAGUUUGUUGGUGAGGUAAUGGCUCACCAAGACUACGAUGUUUAGGGGGUCUGAGAGGAUGAUCCCCCACACUGGUACUGAGACACGGACCAGACUCCUACGGGAGGCAGCAGUGAGGAAUAUUGGUCAAUGGACGAAAGUCUGAACCAGCCAUGCCGCGUGAAGGAUGACUGCCCUACGGGUUGUAAACUUCUUUUGUAUAGGAAGAAACCCCUCUACGUGUAGAGGGUUGACGGUACUAUUCGAAUAAGCACCGGCUAACUCCGUGCCAGCAGCCGCGGUAAUACGGAGGGUGCGAGCGUUAUCCGGAAUUAUUGGGUUUAAAGGGUGCGUAGGCGGAAAUUUAAGUCAGUGGUGAAAGCCUGCAGCUUA